Non-coding RNA from Vicugna pacos (alpaca), 100 nucleotides. Lineage: Eukaryota; Metazoa; Chordata; Mammalia; Artiodactyla; Camelidae. The record is from RefSeq and is a predicted model, not a curated record.
AAGUUCCUUUAGCCCUUGUUGUACAGCUGGUUUGGUGGUGUUGAAUUCAUUUAGCUUUUGUUUCUCUGUAAAGCUUUUCAUUUCUCUUAUCAAAUAGAUC